RNAcentral lists this non-coding RNA (902 nucleotides) under Tapes dorsatus. Lineage: Eukaryota; Metazoa; Mollusca; Bivalvia; Venerida; Veneridae. The record is from RNAcentral.
UAAGAAAAUAGUGUUUUUAGAAAUACUACUUAUAUUUAAUUUAAUAAGGUGCUUUUCUUGCGGAGCUUUAAAUAAGUUUAUGCAGUUUUUUCGCCUUUUAGAUUUAUCUAUAAUGGGCGUAUUAAUAGUACUCUACACCAGUGCGGAGCAUUGAUUUAAUAUAGAAAUAUAGAAUAAGUAAUAGGGAAAGAGGGCGGAUAAAUAAAGUGCCAGCAUUCGCGGUCAGUCUUUUUGUCCCCAAUCAAUGAGUUUCAUAUAUAAGUAAUAGUGAAAAAAAAGUUUUAUCUAGAUUAGAAACGGUAAAAUGUAGCUGGUGUUAAAUAGUUAACCGAGAGGUUUUUGGUUGACUGAGUGAGUGGUAAAAGUAAGAUAGUUUUGAAGAUUAAACCUCAUAAGGCUGUUGAUAGAGACCGGGAUUUGUACCCCAGUAUUAAUGCUCUCUUUAGGUGUGUGGGUACUACGAGCAAAGCGCUUAAAAACCAAAGAGGUUGGCGGUGUUCCAAAUCUGGUUAGGGGAACUUGGCGAUUAAAUCGAUGAGCCUCGAAUAUUUUACCUUUAGUAUUCUUUACAUACCGCCGUUGAGGAAAGCUUUAGGGGGUUGAUGAACUUUAACGUAAUAAUAUAAACUAAGUAAAUCAGUCAAUGAGUUUAUAAGGCUUAGUUCUAUAGUAAUUCAGGUAAACGUGUAGGUUCUAAAGGGUUUAGCUGAGUUACAUUAUUAAAAAUUGUGCGGACACUUGUAUUUAUACUCAUGUUGAAGAUGUACUUGUUAGUAAAAUUUUUUACGGAAGAAAUUUGAAUAAAGUUAUGGAAUGCGUACAAAUCGCCCGGCACCCUCGAAUAAAUAAAUUGAGGUAAGUCGUAACAUAGUAAUGCUAGUAGAAACUGGUGUUAAAUAUAU